Molecule: small nucleolar RNA, 104 nt
Organism: Macaca fascicularis (crab-eating macaque)
Lineage: Eukaryota; Metazoa; Chordata; Mammalia; Primates; Cercopithecidae
Source: Ensembl
GUCCACUCGUAGUUCAUAAGCAAGAUGAUUUGGUUUUCAUGCUGGUGUGUGAGAUGUGCCUCCCUCAAACCUUGUUACUAUGUUGGCACAAUACCAGUCUGAUA